GACGAACGCUGGCGGCGUGCCUAAUACAUGCAAGUAGAACGCACAGUUUAUACCGUAGCUUGCUACACCAUAAACUGUGAGUUGCGAACGGGUGAGUAACGCGUAGGUAACCUGCCUGGUAGCGGGGGAUAACUAUUGGAAACGAUAGCUAAUACCGCAUAAUAUUGAUUAUUGCAUGAUAAUUGAUUGAAAGAUGCUAUUGCAUCACUACCAGAUGGACCUGCGUUGUAUUAGCUAGUAGGUGAGGUAACGGCUCACCUAGGCGACGAUACAUAGCCGACCUGAGAGGGUGAUCGGCCACACUGGGACUGAGACACGGCCCAGACUCCUACGGGAGGCAGCAGUAGGGAAUCUUCGGCAAUGGACGAAAGUCGGACCGAGCAACGCCGCGUGAGUGAAGAAGGUUUUCGGAUCGUAAAGCUCUGUUGUAAGAGAAGAACGGGUGUGAGAGUGGAAAGUUCACACUGUGACGGUACCUUACCAGAAAGGGACGGCUAACUACGUG
This 505-nucleotide ribosomal RNA is filed under the name uncultured bacterium. RNAcentral describes it as "partial 16S ribosomal RNA". It matches the Rfam family "Bacterial small subunit ribosomal RNA", at positions 28 to 507 of the family's 1533-position model. The record is from RNAcentral.